This 498-nucleotide ribosomal RNA is filed under the name uncultured bacterium. Its description in RNAcentral is "partial 16S ribosomal RNA". It matches the Rfam family "Bacterial small subunit ribosomal RNA", at positions 30 to 523 of the family's 1533-position model. The record is from RNAcentral.
AUUGAACGCUGGCGGCAUGCCUUACACAUGCAAGUCGAACGGUAACAGGUCUUCGGAUGCUGACGAGUGGCGAACGGGUGAGUAAUACAUCGGAACGUGCCUAGUAGUGGGGGAUAACUACUCGAAAGAGUGGCUAAUACCGCAUGAGAUCUACGGAUGAAAGCAGAGGAUCGCAAGACCUUGUGCUACUAGAGCGGCCGAUGGCAGAUUAGGUAGUUGGUGGGAUAAAAGCUUACCAAGCCGACGAUCUGUAGCUGGUCUGAGAGGACGAUCAGCCGCACUGGGACUGAGACACGGCCCAGACUCCUACGGGAGGCAGCAGUGGGGAAUUUUGGACAAUGGGCGCAAGCCUGAUCCAGCAAUGCCGCGUGCAGGAUGAAGGCCUUCGGGUUGUAAACUGCUUUUGUACGGAACGAAAAGCCCCGGGUUAAUACCCUGGGGUCAUGACGGUACCGUAAGAAUAAGCACCGGCUAACUACGUGCCAGCCGCCGCCGUAA